AAGUCGUAACAAGGUAACCGUAGGUGAACCUGCGGUUGGAUCAUUAACAAAAAAAAAAUUGGAAGGUUUUUCUUGAAUACUUGUUCGGAAAAGCCUUUUAAAAACACCAAUUGUGAACUGUAUUAUUGUUUCUUUUCUGUGGUUUUAAUCAUGAACUAUAUAAAAGUGUGUUUUUUUACGCGCUGGUUUUGUGAUUGCCCCAGAAAAAACCUUUUUAAACUAAAGAUAUAUACCAUUUUGACCAUUAAAUAAAAGUUUGAAAUUUUUUUUAAACAUUAAAUAAAUUAAAAAAACAACUUUUGGCAACGGAUCUCUAGGCUCUU
Molecule: unclassified non-coding RNA, 323 nt
Filed under: fungal sp.
Lineage: Eukaryota; Fungi
Description: partial internal transcribed spacer region
Rfam family: Eukaryotic small subunit ribosomal RNA (bases 1-46)
Source: RNAcentral